CCUAUGGAGUGUACAAGAACUUGCGAGUAGAUUAUGAGAAAUCAUGUCAAAAGCAUACACGAUGAAAUAGGAA
This 73-nucleotide non-coding RNA is filed under the name unclassified sequences. The record is from Rfam.